Molecule: ribosomal RNA, 1023 nt
Filed under: uncultured soil eukaryote
Lineage: Eukaryota
Description: SSU rRNA
Rfam family: Eukaryotic small subunit ribosomal RNA
Source: RNAcentral
UCCUGCCUGAACUGAUGUGCUUAUCUCAAAGAUUAAGCCAUGCAUGUCUAAGUAUAAACGAUUUAAUCGUGAAACCGCGAAUGGCUCAUUAUAACAGCUAUAAUUUACUUGAUCUUGACACAAUCCUACUUGGAUAACUGUGGUAAUUCUAGAGCUAAUACAUGCAUUAAAGCUCUGACCUCACGGGAAGAGUGCAUUUAUUAGAACAAAACCAAGCGGCUUCGGCUGUUUCUGGUUGACUCAUAGUAACUGAGCUGAUCGCAUGGUCUUGCACCGGCGACGUGUCUUUCAAGUAUCUGCCGUAUCAACUUUCGAUGGUAGUGUAUCUGACUACCAUGGUGAUCACGCGUAACGGAGAAUAAGGGUUCGGCUCCGGAGAGUUCGCCUGAGAAAUCGCGAACACAUCUAAGGAAGGCAGCAGGCGCGAAAAUUACCCACUCUCAGCACGAGGAGGUAGUGACGAAAAAUAACGAGACCGUUCUCUUAUGAGGCCGGUCAUCGGAAUGGGUACAAUUUAAACCCUUUAACGAGUAUCUAUGAGAGGGCAAGUCUGGUGCCAGCAGCCGCGGUAAUUCCAGCUCUCAAAGUGCAUAGAAUUAUUGCUGCGGUUAAAAAGCUCGUAGUUGGAUCUGUGCCAUAGGACGUGGUCCACCUUCGGGUGCGUACUACGCUCCUAGGCUUUUUGCUGGUUUUCCCGUCGUAGCCUUCACUGGUUGCGGCGGGUGGCUGGCGAGUUUACUUUGAGAAAAUCAGAGUGCUCAAUACAGGCGUAUCGCUUGAAUGAUUGUGCAUGGAAUAAUAGAAAAGGAUUUCGGUCCUCUUUUAUUGGUUUUGUGGACUGAGAUAAUGGUUAACAGGGACAAACGGGGGCAUUCGUAUCUCUGCGUGAGAGGUGAAAUUCUUGGACCGUAGAGAGACGCCCUACUGCGAAAGCAUUUGCCAAGAAUGUCUUCAUUAAUCAAGAACGAAAGUCAGAGGUUCGAAGGCGAUCAGAUACCGCCCUAGUUCUGACCGUAAACGAUG